Long non-coding RNA from Helicoverpa zea (corn earworm), 306 nucleotides. RefSeq lists it as uncharacterized. The record is from RefSeq and is a predicted model, not a curated record. The transcript is spliced from 4 exons. Lineage: Eukaryota; Metazoa; Arthropoda; Insecta; Lepidoptera; Noctuidae.
GUUGUGGAAAGUGGAUGGAGCGAAGGGCUCUUCGUAAAGAUGGUGUGUAGUAUUUUAGUAGUGACAUGCAAUUUUUGUAAUGGCAAAAUAUUUGCAAGAGAUGGCAAACAAAAGCAAAUGUGCAGUCGAUGUGUGGAAUGCGACAACAUUAUACUCGAUAAUUUCAAUUAUUGCGAGUGCUGUGGCUAUAAAAUGAAAAAUAAUACUUAUUACCAGAUAGAGAUGUCGAUAACGAAGAGUUGAAUGUUAGAACUUAUGAAAAUAUUAUUUACAACUCAUUUCGAGAAGCUGCUCAAGCUCCUUUUU